GCAAGUCGAACGGUAACAGGAAAUAGCUUGCUAUUUUGCUGACGAGCGGCGGACGGGUGAGUAAUGCUUGGGAACAUGCCUUGAGGUGGGGGACAACAGUUGGAAACGACUGCUAAUACCGCAUAAUGUCUACGGACCAAAGGGGGCUUCGGCUCUCGCCUUUAGAUUGGCCCAAGUGGGAUUAGCUAGUUGGUGAGGUAAUGGCUUACCAAGGCGACGAUCCCUAGCUGGUCUUAGAGGAUGACC
Molecule: ribosomal RNA, 246 nt
Filed under: uncultured bacterium
Lineage: Bacteria
Description: partial 16S ribosomal RNA
Rfam family: Bacterial small subunit ribosomal RNA
Source: RNAcentral